This 69-nucleotide transfer RNA is filed under the name Centrocolumna evidens. RNAcentral describes it as "tRNA-Ser". It matches the Rfam family "tRNA". From Rfam's summary of the family: Transfer RNA (tRNA) molecules are approximately 80 nucleotides in length. Their secondary structure includes four short double-helical elements and three loops (D, anti-codon, and T loops). Lineage: Eukaryota; Metazoa; Arthropoda; Insecta; Blattodea; Blattellidae. The record is from RNAcentral.
AGUUAAAUACCUUAAGUAAGGAUUAUGCUUUGAAAGCAUAUAUAAGAGGUUAAAAUCCCCUAUUAACUU